UUGAAUUAGUAUAUAGAUGGUUCAAUAAAAAUCAUGGAUGGUUGAAUCUAAUGGUAUUUGAAUCUGAUCAAGAUGGAUGCUAGUAUGCUGUCCGACGACCACAGAUCAAGAUUUUUCACUAAGUUUAAUCAAAAUCAUCAAAAGAAAGCCCUUCAUUGGACUUAUCUUAGAGAGAGAAAACUUUAUAAAGAGAGAAAAAUAAUUCUAAAGAAAGAAAAUAUUAUAGAGAG
This 230-nucleotide long non-coding RNA is filed under the name Elaeis guineensis (African oil palm). RNAcentral describes it as "long non-coding RNA (EGUI_LNC009860)". The record is from RNAcentral. Lineage: Eukaryota; Viridiplantae; Streptophyta; Magnoliopsida; Arecales; Arecaceae.